This 469-nucleotide ribosomal RNA is filed under the name uncultured bacterium. RNAcentral describes it as "bacterial SSU rRNA". It matches the Rfam family "Bacterial small subunit ribosomal RNA", at positions 328 to 794 of the family's 1533-position model. The record is from RNAcentral.
UGGCCAGACUCCUACGGGAGGCAGCAGUGAGGAAUAUUGGUCAAUGGUCGGGAGACUGAACCAGCCAAGUCGCGUGAGGGAAGACUGCCCUAUGGGUUGUAAACCUCUUUUGUCAGGGAGCAACGCCGGCUACGUGUAGCCGGACUGAGAGUACCCGAAGAAAAAGCAUCGGCUAACUCCGUGCCAGCAGCCGCGGUAAUACGGAGGAUGCGAGCGUUAUCCGGAUUUAUUGGGUUUAAAGGGUGCGCAGGCGGAGGUGCAAGUCAGCGGUCAAAUUGCGGGGCUCAACCCCGUACUGCCGUUGAAACUGCAUCCCUUGAGUGCGCGAGAAGUAUGCGGAAUGCGUGGUGUAGCGGUGAAAUGCAUAGAUAUCGCGCAGAACUCCGAUUGCGAAGGCAGCAUGCCGGCGCCACACUGACGCUGAGGCACGAAAGCGUGGGUAUCGAACAGGAUUAGAUACCCCCGUAGC